UGGGGAAUUUUGUACAAUGGGGGAAACCCUGAUGCAGCGACGCCGCGUGAUUUAGAAGGCCUUCGGGUUGUAAAAAUCUUUUCUAUGGGAAGAAAAUGACAGUACCAUAGGAAUAAGGACCGGCUAAUUACGUGCCAGCAGCCGCGGUAAUACGUAAGGUCCGAGCGUUGUCCGGAAUCAUUGGGCGUAAAGGGUACGUAGGCGGGUAAGCAAGUUAGAAGUGAAAUCCUAUAGCUCAACUAUAGUAAGCUUUUAAAACUGCUCAUCUUGAGAUAGUGAAGGGAAAGGUGAAUUUCUAGUGUUGCGGGUAAAUGCGGAAGUAAUAGGAAGGAUACCGAUGGGGAAGGCGACUUUCUGGCCAUAACCUGACGCUGGAGGACGAAAGCGUGGGUAGCCAACAAG
This 402-nucleotide ribosomal RNA is filed under the name bacterium. Its description in RNAcentral is "partial 16S ribosomal RNA". It matches the Rfam family "Bacterial small subunit ribosomal RNA", at positions 355 to 776 of the family's 1533-position model. The record is from RNAcentral.